CAAGCUUAAUACACUGUAUGGCAAAAAAAACGCUCUCUCUCUUAAAAACUUGAAUUCCAAACUAAACAAAAUACACUGUAUCGUCCGAAAACGUGUCAGAAUUUCAAACUCAGAUAUUAAUCUUGUACAUCUCCACCAACGGAAGUAAAUCCCUUCAUCAAACAAAGAACCGGAAGAAGAGAAAAAAGAAGAAGGUAAAGGCACCUAUAUGUUUCGUUUUUCCGCUAGAAAUUUGUAGUGCAUUAUGUUUUUGACACGGAGCAUGAAUCUCUUUGCUAUGUUUCUGAACAAGGAAACCCAUCAAAUUAUUUAACAUGCAAAGUUUUACAAACAACGAUAAUCUUCCUAUUCAUGCGCUGAUCUUUGGGAAGUUUGAAGAGGGAAGCAAGUUAUCUUUGUGAGAGGGAAGCAAAAGACACUAAAUCACAAACAACAAAAAUCUUUCAUAUUCUCAAAAACUGAACUUUUUCUUCUUUUUGUUUUCUUGUUUUUGAUGGGUGUUUUUUUCACAUAAAAACUUGAACUUGAUAUUCUCUGUUUGUUGCAAAAAGAGGGUAUUUGAGUCUGGUUGCCGAGAAAGAUCAUCUACGGCUGAAGAUGAAGAUGAUGCCCACAACACUGAGAUCAUCCUGGCCAUUAAUCAUGCCCUCAUCAUGCCAAACUUAUAGUAGUAUACCCUAUAUGCUUAAACAAAAGAUGGAACAAAUCGAUUAGCUCAAUACAAUUCUUUUGUUGCAAGGUAUUGACAGCGUUAUACAUCAUUCAUGGUUUCAAUGACGCUGCGGUUGGCCGUGAAGUGGGUUGUGAGACGCACUCAUAAGGAUUCUUUUGUAGCUAUAGCCAUGGUAGGUUUUGAUCAUGAAAUGGUGAGGUUUGUAAAGACUUACUUAAAACAAAGGAUGGAGCAUAUCAUUGGCUCAUAUAUAGCUCUUAUUUUCAAAGUGACAGCUGAAUGAUAAUGAUUUGCAGUAUUACAAAAAACAUUGACGUCACAGAUUGGAAAACAUGAUCAAACUCAUCAUUGCGAUGAACCCAUAGGCCAAUCAAGUUUGUGUAUGUGUUUAGUUUAUUGAAUUUUUUUGAUCUAUUAAUCACUAACUGGAAUUUUGAUUAGGGAGGGAUUAAUUAGUUGUUUGAUACACAAAUAUGUGGUUAAGUGGUUCAUCUUCAAAAGCCAAAAAUUGAUAACUCAUCUGCUCCCUCGUUAUUAA
Long non-coding RNA from Lathyrus oleraceus (garden pea), 1211 nucleotides. RefSeq lists it as uncharacterized. NCBI's taxonomy places the organism in Eukaryota, Viridiplantae, Streptophyta, Magnoliopsida, Fabales, Fabaceae. The record is from RefSeq and is a predicted model, not a curated record. The transcript is spliced from 6 exons.